CUGUUGUUGACAUUUUGUGGUUGUUGUUGGAGUUUUUGUUGUUUUGUUGUUGGUUUGGUUUGGUUGGUUUUCAUUAAUCAUUUUUAAUUAACAAUAUUCUUAUUAAUUCUUCAAAAAUUUCAUACAAUAUAUUUUGAUCGUAUUCUUUUCUCACCCCACACCCUCCCAGAAACUCCCCAUCUCCCUACCCACCUAAAUUCAUAUUCUCUCUCUCAAAAAAUAAAGAAAAAUUAAAAUUAAAACAGACAAACUAAAAGCAAAAGAAUAAAAUCAGUUAGACAAAUACCAAAACAAAACAAACAAACACACAUACACAAAACCACCCAUGGAGGUUGCCCAACCACUCUUGGGCAUGUGAUCUACCCACUGUGUGGUUGAUAUACCCAGUCAUACCCAAUGGAGAAGAGUGACUUUCCCUUCACAGAAGGAAUCAAUUACAAAUAGCUUCUUGGUUAAGGGUGGGACUUUGUGUUCACUUGCUCUUCUUAGUGCUGGGAUUUUGUCCUAUUUGAACCUGUUUAGGUUUUGUGCAUACUAUCACAGUCUCCAUUGCUGUGAAGAGAUGCCAUGACCGUGGCAACCCUCAUAAAAGAAAGUGUUUUUAAUUGGGGCUUGCUCAUAUUCAGAGGUUUAGUCCAUUGUUAUCAUGUCAGGAAUCAUGUUGCUGGACAGGUAGCUGAGAGUUCUACAUCUGGAUUGGCAGGCAGCAGGAAGAGAAAGAGACACUGGGCCUGGCUUGAGCAGUUAAAACCUCAACACCCACACACUUCUUCCAACAAGGCCACACCUCCGAAUAGUGCCACUCCCUGGUGACCAAACCUUCAACUCUAUGAGCCUACGGGUGCCAUUCCUAUUCAAACCACCACAACAUGUAUUUCAGUCCUUUUGUGUCUGGAAGACAGUUUCCUUGGAAUCACCCAUCACCUCUGGCUCAUACAAUCUUUCUGUCCCCUAUUCUGCAUAGAUUCUUGAGCCUUGAGGGCAGGAUCUUGAUAAAGACAUCCCACUUAGGGCUAAAUGCUUCAGAGGCUGUCACUCUCUGUACCUUGUCUGAUUAUAGAUCUCUGUGUUAGUUAUCAACUAGUGUAAGCAGAAGCUUCUCUGAUGAGAGUUGAGUGAUGCUCUGCUAUAGGGGUAUAGCUGUAUGUCAUUAGGGGUCAUUUUUUUUUUUUUUACUAUGACUAAUUUCAUAGUGCUGAAAGGUGCUAUGCUCACUACUGGGGAAGCAAAGUAAUUAUCAGCCUUAUCCAGCUGGCAGCCCUAUCGGCUACAGUAACAACCAGCUUUGUAAGAUACACCCACUGGUACAAUAAUGAGUAUAUCAAACCCUGAUGCCCAACCCAGACCAGUUAACCCAAAUCUGCCUUGAUGGAGUCAUGCAUCAGCACACUUAAAUGCUAUAGGAUUAACCACUCACUUUCUGAUUGGCUCUCCCACAAAAUGGAAGCCAUGCCUUGCACUGUUAAUAAGGAUGAAAAGCCAUGAUUAGGUAGAUCAUGGACCCUAGGGAAGAAUCUACUACUCUUAUGUCCUAAAUGGACGUAGCAUUAAACCAGCUCCUAAUGAGAUCAUAGAUUAGCACAUCUUCCAGUCCUCAUCAGAGAAGCUACUUUUUGUAGUAGAUGGUGAUUAACACGGAGACCCACAACUGGGUCACAACAUGUAGCAAAUAAGAAGCAGUGGAAUGCCAGCCCUGAAGUGGACAUCUGUGUCAGACAUAGUCCUCCCAAGGCUCAGAAGUCACCACAGAAGAGGAGUCAGAACAUGAGAAGCAGAAAUAGACGAUUACAGCGCUACAGUAUUUUCUGAGCACAACAGGGCAUUUGCCAUGGCGAGUCACAGUGGUUGUGGAAGCACACAAGAGACUUGUGCGUGAUCAAGUCAGACAAAAUCCCAGCGUGGAAGAUGAAGGCAGACAAGGACGCCCCACAUGGCGCUGAAGAGCUAUUGGCGAUUAACGGCUGCUAGAAGCAGUUCAAGGCAACCUUCCGGAUGUCGGUAAGCCUCUGUUUCCUCCUUUAUAAAAUGGAAGUAAAUCAGUAGAGAAGAGCCACGGUGGGGAUCAAACACAGGUACAGCAGGCAAGAACUGGAGAACUCUCAGUGCACCUGAGAGAGAGAGCAAGAGUGCCUCUCCACUUUAACCAUUCCUGCUCCAAACCUGCAGCUCCAGCAGCCCUAACCCCAAGUUCACUGAUCCAGGCCCUUUGGGAGCUUCAAGGUUUAAAUGUAGAGAAAUAUGCAGAACUAGCAGCUACCUCUCCAGUACCAUGUCUGCCUGCGUGGCACCAUGCUUCCCACUAUGAUGAUAAUGGACUAAACCUCUGAACUGUGGCUGCCUCGCUGGAAUCAUUCAGAAGCUGUCAAUGACUCACCCAGUCAAUUUGAGGCCCAGCAAUAGACUUGGAGUCAGUGGCGCCUGACAGCUGCUCAGUGGCUGGGGAAGAAAGGAAGCAGGAGUGUCCUGGUACAUGAUAGAUGCUCCUGGUCCUAUGGCAGUUGCUGGAGUGAAAAGCAAUCCGUCAUCAAUGUUCCUGGCUGCAGUCUGGCCAAAGUUAAGGUCAGCUAAAGAAAGGACAUCUCGCAGUGUGAAUAA
Meriones unguiculatus (Mongolian gerbil) is the source of this 2595-nucleotide long non-coding RNA. RefSeq lists it as uncharacterized. Lineage: Eukaryota; Metazoa; Chordata; Mammalia; Rodentia; Muridae. The record is from RefSeq and is a predicted model, not a curated record. The transcript has 5 exons.